RNAcentral lists this ribosomal RNA (305 nucleotides) under uncultured bacterium. Its description in RNAcentral is "bacterial SSU rRNA". It matches the Rfam family "Bacterial small subunit ribosomal RNA", at positions 333 to 657 of the family's 1533-position model. The record is from RNAcentral.
UAACCUACGGGAGGCAGCAGUGGGGAAUAUUGCACAAUGGGGGAAACCCUGAUGCAGCAACGCCGCGUGAGUGAUGACGGCCUUCGGGUUGUAAAGCUCUGUCUUCAGGGACGAUAAUGACGGUACCUGAGGAGGAAGCCACGGCUAACUACGUGCCAGCAGCCGCGGUAAUACGUAGGUGGCGAGCGUUGUCCGGAUUUAUUGGGUUUAAAGGGUGCGUAGGCGGCGCUUCAGGUCAACGGUGAAAUACCGGGGCUCAACCCCGGGGCUGCCGUUGAAACCGGAGCGCUAGAAUUCCGAUGCCG